This 492-nucleotide ribosomal RNA is filed under the name uncultured bacterium. Its description in RNAcentral is "partial 16S ribosomal RNA". It matches the Rfam family "Bacterial small subunit ribosomal RNA", at positions 29 to 507 of the family's 1533-position model. The record is from RNAcentral.
AGUGAACGCUGGCGGUAGGCCUAACACAUGCAAGUCGAACGGCAGCACAGUAAGAGCUUGCUCUUACGGGUGGCGAGUGGCGGACGGGUGAGGAAUACAUCGGAAUCUACUUUUUCGUGGGGGAUAACGUAGGGAAACUUACGCUAAUACCGCAUACGACCUACGGGUGAAAGCAGGGGAUCUUCGGACCUUGCGCGAUUGAAUGAGCCGAUGUCGGAUUAGCUAGUUGGCGGGGUAAAGGCCCACCAAGGCGACGAUCCGUAGCUGGUCUGAGAGGAUGAUCCGCCACACUGGAACGGAGACACGGUCCAGACUCCUACGGGCGGCAGCAGUGGGGAAUAUUGGACAAUGGGCGCAAGCCUGAUCCAGCCAUACCGCGUGGGUGAAGAAGGCCUUCGGGUUGUAAAGCCCUUUUGUUGGGAAAGAAAAGCAGCAGGUUAAUACCCCGCUGUUCUGACGGUACCCAAAGAAUAAGCACCGGCUAACUUCGUG